This 1147-nucleotide long non-coding RNA is filed under the name Phoenix dactylifera (date palm). Its description in RNAcentral is "long non-coding RNA (PDAC_LNC003603)". The record is from RNAcentral. Lineage: Eukaryota; Viridiplantae; Streptophyta; Magnoliopsida; Arecales; Arecaceae.
AUGGCAUAUCUUGGUUUGGACGACGAGAAAAAAAGUUCCUAGCGCAAGUUGUUUAGACAGAGAGACUUCUUUUAUCAAAAUGACAAUCUUGACAUGCAAUCAUUUGAUCACUGUUGGUUUUAGAAGAUAAGGAUGGAUUCUGGAACGUUCAGGAGCCUCCAUGGAAUCACAACUAUUUCAUAAAAGAAAUUAAUCAGUUUUUUUCUUCACAUUGCCUUGUUUUUCAACUUGGACUGUCAAGUUAUGCAUCAUGCUAUUGUCCUUUGCUUGCAAUAACACGCUUGAUCAUUUAAUGGUCCAGACCGCACAGGCUUUCUGAGUACUCACACUUCCUUUAGUCUGCAAUCUUUGGUCGGUUUUGUGAUAUUUACUUGUCUUUUUCUGUUAGUCUUCAGUUGAACAGGAGUUUGUAAUGAAUUCAGUGAUGAAUCAUUGUGGGGAUUCACCAUUAGUAAUUUUAAAGAGAGAGUGUCAGUGUUUCCUGGCCACCUACUUUCAGUAGUAUUUUUUUUAAAAAAAAUGACAUUUUGAUUGAGUGCCUAAUAUAUUCUCAUUGGAUUCUGCUCAAGCUUGAGACCAGUUCUUAAACUUAUGACUCAUUAGCUUUCAUCUUUUUCACUAAAGCACUUGAUGUAAAGUUAAAUGAGUUUUAUGCAUGACUUGUGUAAGUUCCCUAAUCCCUGCAUCUGGUUGGCUGCAGGGUUGAGUCUUGAAGAGUCAAAGAGUUGCGAUUGCCCUUCGCACCGAUCAUCGAACGUCAUCGGCUGUAUCAACAGAUCAACAAUCAUCCAAUUCUUGGAAAUUCAAGUUUCUUGACAGCAUCUAAGAUUGUCCAUGCAUCAUUAGCUGGAUUUCUUGUUCUUGUCAUCUUUCACUGCCUCCCUGCCCAUUUGUACAGAGCAUCAGGCUUUCCAGCUCCACAAAGAUGCUCCGAUCCACAGGACCCUGGGUAAUUGUGCUACAAAUUCAUGAUCCUUUCUGCUCUUGAGCUGAUCCUUGGGUAAUCGAAGAUCUUCUGAGUAAUCGAUCGAGUUGUCGUUUUUAGUGGAUUCGAUGUUGUUCUUCACCACCUUUGUUCUUAAGGUUACUAACAUUGAUUCAAGUGGACCAAAGCUUGAUGUAUGAUGCCUUGCAAAUUGAAUCAUAG